AGAGUUUGAUCCUGGCUCAGGAUGAACGCUAGCGGCAGGCUUAACACAUGCAAGUCGAGGGGUAUAGGUUUUCGGACCUAGAGACCGGCGCACGGGUGCGUAACGCGUAUGCAAUCUACCUUUUACAGAGGGAUAGCCCAGAGAAAUUUGGAUUAAUACCUCAUAGUAUUAUUGAGUGGCAUCAUUUAAUAAUUAAAGUUCCAACGGUAAAAGAUGAGCAUGCGUCCCAUUAGCUAGAUGGUAAGGUAACGGCUUACCAUGGCAACGAUGGGUAGGGGUCCUGAGAGGGAGAUCCCCCACACUGGUACUGAGACACGGACCAGACUCCUACGGGAGGCAGCAGUGAGGAAUAUUGGUCAAUGGGCGCAAGCCUGAACCAGCCAUGCCGCGUGCAGGAUGACGGUCCUAUGGAUUGUAAACUGCUUUUGUACAGGAAGAAACAGUUCUACGUGUAGAACCUUGACGGUACUGUAAGAAUAAGGAUCGGCUAACUCCGUGCCAGCAGCCGCGGUAAUACGGAGGAUCCAAGCGUUAUCCGGAAUCAUUGGGUUUAAAGGGUCCGUAGGCGGUUUUGUAAGUCAGUGGUGAAAGCCCAUCGCUCAACGGUGGAACGGCCAUUGAUACUGCAAGACUUGAAUUAUUAGGAAGUAACUAGAAUAUGUAGUGUAGCGGUGAAAUGCUUAGAUAUUACAUGGAAUACCAAUUGCGAAGGCAGGUUACUACUAAUGGAUUGACGCUGAUGGACGAAAGCGUGGGGAGCGAACAGGAUUAGAUACCCUAGUAGUCC
This 787-nucleotide ribosomal RNA is filed under the name uncultured bacterium. RNAcentral describes it as "bacterial SSU rRNA". It matches the Rfam family "Bacterial small subunit ribosomal RNA", at positions 8 to 796 of the family's 1533-position model. The record is from RNAcentral.